CAAAAAAAGUCUCUCUCUCUCUGAAAUCAAAUCUGGUUGGCUUCGUCCAAUUCUGCCUCUAGGUGGCUGAUGUGCAAAUAAAAGAGGGUUUCAAUCGAUGGCUCACCUCUUGGUUCGUUUCUUCAAGCGAUCCUCUCAUAACUUAUUCUUGGAACAGAGAGCGAAUAGCACAGCUAAAUGCCAAGAAUACGAGAGUUGGGAGUGGCGGAAAGGCGAGAGACGCAUGAGAUGAGUGCAGUGCAGUGCGGUGAACAAAGGCUUGGCUGUCCUCAUCGGUAAACCCGAAGGGGCAUGUGUGGUCUCUCUCUCUCUAGCUCGCGAAUGUCUGAUAUCACUUGUAACGCGAGAACCACUGGCUGCAAACGCACGCAAACCUCAAACACGAUUGGAGGCGCUCUUAGAUGAUUCGCUCUCCCGUAUUCUCUCCCUGGUUCCACUCGAUCACCUGAUUAUGGUCGUGUUGUUCCAGGUGUCUGGACGUGUACGCACAGCCGUUGGUGAGGCCGAGUGUGAUAUUGUUUCGUUUCAUCAAAAAAGGCCAGGAUCGUGAGCAUCUUCUUAUCCAGGAAAAAUUCGUUGUCUUGUUGUCAAGUUUGAAAACGUUGAUCGAUAAAUUGCAACUUGGAACUGCUGUGGCUUAAAAGCUAGAACGAGAGUUCUCAACUUCAAAUAACCAGGGGGCCGUCGUUGUUUCUUUGGUGUUAACCGUGGACCCACUCGUUUACUCGUUGACAAAUCGCAAGCCCAAAAAGCAACAUGACUUGAAAAGUGAAAUGGCGAUGAGGAUACCAACCAUCAUAACAGUGAGGACCCAUUGUUUACGCUCAUAUCUAUCUCUCUUUCUCUCUUGCUUGCUGGCAUGGCAGAAUGGAUGCGAGCCCUCAAGUACGUAUCGGUUCCUUCAUACGAUACAUCGACGUCUGGCGGUACAGCGUUUGUACUUCGGUAGUCCACAUGUGAGCUCGAAAUACCACUCAAUGGCUGGCUUUUGAGCUCUAAAACAUUAUACCGAAGAAUGAGCAAGAGAACGGGGAAGAGACGUAAGAGAAGAAGACGACGAAGGCAUCCAUCCUCAUUUUAAGCCACUAGACCAAAACACAACCACCACCGAAGACCUGGCAUGACGUCAUUCGCCUGCAACCUGUUGCCUGAAAUAUCGAACACUCUGCUCAUUUAAGAACGUGAUUUAUGUCUUCGACCUUUGAAGUGAAUCGUGGAAGUAAAUUGAAAAAGCGAAAACGGCGGUACAUUUUCAGGGAUCGCUUGCAUGGCACAAGCAAACGCUCCUCGGGAUCCCAAGCCAAGUCUUCCAAGAGUUCCUGUUUUAGAACAUCCAUCCAUUCACAAUCAUUCCAAAAGAUAUUCCCAUAUCAUGGAGAACAGUGAAAGCAAUCACACUAUUGCCACAGAUCUCCUCUUGACCCCUAGCACAAGUAGCCAACACGGGAUGUUGUCUAACGAUCCACCUGGGGUGAAAAAACGUCCUCACACUGAUCUUGGCCAAGAAGAAAAGAGAAUCCUUGAGGCUGAGGAUCAACACGAGGACAAGAUGAAUCCCGUUCAGAGAGUCCCUUCGAUUACCAGCUCAAACCAAAUAUGCCCUGACAUCAUUCCAAGUCCAAGUCGAGGACCUAACUCUGUUCCAAGGCGGAAAUCAACGCUUAGAAAUUUUCAUAGAGUUGUAGAACAGUCCGAAGAGGAACCAUUGUGUGUGAUCAUUUUCAAAUGGACCUUAAUCGUGGUGGGUGCACUGAUGCUUGGACUAGUGAUCUUUAUUAUGGGUGAGGUGAUUCAUGCCUGGAUAACUGGCACAUUGGAGGAAUUAAAUAAUCGAUACACAGCCACAAGUCCGAUCACAUUGGAUGCUUUAAAACGUGAUGCCCUUGUCAGCGAAUCGGGGAACCUUUCUGAUAUUGAGCGGACCCUGUGACGAAAAUGUAUUGUGACCGAGGCUCCUAACGCUUUGAGUUCCAGUAGACCAUUGACCAAAAAAAUCAUAAUAUCUGGAAUCAUUCUCGAUAAUCAAUUGACCAUA
Long non-coding RNA from Tigriopus californicus, 2035 nucleotides. RefSeq lists it as uncharacterized. The record is from RefSeq and is a predicted model, not a curated record. The transcript has 2 exons. Lineage: Eukaryota; Metazoa; Arthropoda; Copepoda; Harpacticoida; Harpacticidae.